GCAAGCAACAUUUUGGUGUCCCCCCCCCCCCCAAACCAAACACUGAAAAAUAAAAGGUAGAAGGUAGAGGUGAAUAGAAUAUAUAUGGCACAUACAGUCCCUGUGUGUGUGUGUGCGUGUGUGUGUGUGUAUAUAUAAAUAUAUAUACAUACACAUACACACAAUGUGGAGAAUAUGUGGAAAGGUAGAUAGAUAAGUAGGGAGCCACAGCGGAGGAACCUUCCUGGGAACAAGGCCUAAUAAUAAUAAUAAUAAUAAUAAUAAUAAUAAUAAUAAUAAUAAUAAUAAUAAAUCAUCCCUUGCAAUAUCCAAGAUGGCUCACUGCUACAGAAUCUUGGGAGCUGUAGUUUGGUAUGGUACCAUUAUUGGCAGAGAAACCUAAGCUGUAGGAGUUGAAAUCCAAUCAUUUAUCCUCCCUAUAGAAUCUAUUUUCUAUGAUUUAUUUGCUUUUUUAUUGUGUUGUGUUUUUAUUAUUGUAUAUGGCAUUGAAUAUUUGCCUUUGCAUUUGGAAGCUGCCCUUAGUCCUUUUGGGGAGAGAGGGCAGGUUAGAAAUAAAAUAGAAUAAUAACAAUUAUUAUUAUUAUUAUUAUUAUUAUUAUUAUUGACACAACUACGUUGUAUGACACAGCAAACAAGAUAGAUAUGCUGUAUUUUGUAUCACAAAAUCACAAGUCGAACACUUCCCAAGUGUCUAGGACUGUGUGAUGUAUUUUCGGAUGAUGCGUGCAGAUCCCAGUAGGGUGGCCUUUUGCAGUUGGCAGAUCAUGAUUUUGUCAAUGUCUAUUGUUUCCAAAUGCCGGCUGAGAUCUUUUGGCACGGCACCCAAUGUGCCGAUCACCACUGGGACCACCUGCACUGGUUUCUGCCAUAGUCUUUGAAGUUCAAUCUUGAGGUCCUGAUAGCGGCUGAGUUUUUCCUGUUGUUUUUUGUCAAUGCGACUGUCACCUGGGAUGGCAACAUCAAUGAUCCAAACCUUUUUCUUUUCCACAACUGUGAUGUGUGGUGUGUUGUGUUCCAGAACUUUGUUAUUCUGGAACACAACACACCAGACAUCACAGUUGUGGAAAAGAAAAAAGUUUGGAUCAUUGACGUUGCCAUCCCAGGUGACAGCCGUAUUAUUAUUAUUAUUAUUAUUAUUAUUAUUAUUAUUAUUAUUAAAUAUCUGGAGGGCUAAGGUUUGCCCAUGCCUGCUCUAUACUGCACUUUCCAGAACUUUCCCAUCACAAUCUGCUAUUGAGCUGGAUACAAGAUUAAGACAUUAUUUCCAGCUUACUGAAGUUGGCUGUUUAUGUUUUGGCUGAGGGGGCAGAAAUUGCCUUAAAGCCAUCUUGUGCAGCUUCCAAAACCCAACACCUGAGAACAUUUUGCACUAUAGCCAGAUAUUUCCAAGGUUGUACCCAAAGGGCUUGGCAAAUAUACCCUUUUUUUGAGAUGGAUCUAAAUCAGGCAUGGGCAAACUUUGGCCCUCCAGAUGUUUUGGACUUCAACUCCCACAAUUCCUAACAGCCAGUAUUUGAGAACACAGAAAUGCUGGACCACUCUAAAAGCCACCAUGUCAGACUAAACAGAGAAGCCAUUGAAAUCCACAAGAAGCACAUGGACAAUUUCAACAGAAAAGAGGAAAUCAUGAAAAUAAACAAAAUCUGACAUUUGGAAAGAAGCAAAACUAAAUGGGGAAGAGUCUUUUUUCCUUAGAGGGAGAAAGAGGCUAGCGCUGGUCUGCAAAGGGGGCUCCACUUCUCCCUCCCUCCCAUCCCUCCCCAGGAGCCCAGCCUGAGCCAUAGGGCCACGCUGCCGGGGAGGCUCACCUGGCUCAGGGUGGAGCGACUCCCGGCUCCAAGGCAGGGCAAGGAGAAGGCCAAGCAGCAGGCAUGGCUCUUUCUUCCCUUCCCUCCCUCCCUGCUUCUCUCUCUCCCUCAGCGGCCUCUCAAAGAGAGAGAGCGAGAGCAAGAGCGCGCGCACGCGAGAGAGAGAGAGAGAGAGAGAGAGAGAGAGAAGCAGGGAGGGGAGAGAGAUAAGGGAAGAAAGAGCAGUAGGCUUCAGUUGAGGGAGCCAGCGAGGGAGCUGCUGCUGCUGCUGGUGGUGGUGGUGGGGUGGGGGGCUCGACGGUGACCCUGAGGACCGUGCGCUCCAAGCGGAGGCCUCAUUGGUUUCCAUGUUGGACCGGCUCUGGCUGCCACUGCUAUCAUUUUCCCAUCCAGAUAUCUGAAAAAGUCUUUCACCACUCUGCUCAUAGAUUCUUUCUUUCUUUCUUUCUUUCUUUCUUUCUUUCUUUCUUUCUUUCUUUCUUUCUUUCUUUCUUUCUCCCUUUCCCUCCCUCCCUCCCUCCCUCCUUUGUAAAAGUUAAUAUACAGUUUCAACUCUUAUAAAAAAGGAACAAUUUGCUUCUCUGAGAGUGGUAAAAAGGAAAAAUCAAAAGAGGAGCUGCCACUUCCGGCAUUUUCCCAACCAGGGAUUCAAGAAGGCCAAAAGCAGUGUUGAGAUGGAAAGAGUGGGAGUGGGAGGGUCCAUGCUUCUUUUAGGUUUCCCCAAGAUGAACUGAGCUCUUUCCUUUUGCCACCCUAUUCAGAGAAGGGAAGAUUUUAUAUAUAUGUAUGUGUGUUAAGGUACAGUACUCACAUUGUCCCAUGAAUCAGUUGACCAAGGUUUUGGGAGUUGAUUUUUUGAUUAAGAUUUCUAGACUUACAGUACUAUAUAGA
Molecule: long non-coding RNA, 2699 nt
Filed under: Anolis carolinensis (green anole)
Lineage: Eukaryota; Metazoa; Chordata; Lepidosauria; Squamata; Anolidae
Description: lncRNA (ENSACAG00000040052.1)
Source: RNAcentral